This 1261-nucleotide ribosomal RNA is filed under the name Pan troglodytes (chimpanzee). RNAcentral's name for it is "SSU rRNA". It matches the Rfam family "Eukaryotic small subunit ribosomal RNA", at positions 222 to 1509 of the family's 1831-position model. The record is from RNAcentral. Lineage: Eukaryota; Metazoa; Chordata; Mammalia; Primates; Hominidae.
CCCCGGCCGGGGGGUCGGGUGCCACCAGCUUUGGUGCCUCUGGAUAACCUCGGGCCAAUCGCACGCCCCCCGUGGCAGCGAUGACCCAUUCGAACGUCUGCCCUAUCAACUUUCUAUGGUAGUCGCUGUGCCUACCAUGGUGACCACGGGUGACAGGGAAUCAGAGUUCGAUUCUGGAGAGGGAGCCUGAGAAAUGGCUACCACAUUCAAGGAAGGCAGCAGACACGCAAAUUACCCACUCCUGACACGGGGAGGUAGUGACGAAAAAUAACAAUACAGGACUCUUUCAAGGCCCUGUAAUUGGAAUGAGUCCACUUUAAAUCUUUUAAUGAGGAUCCAUUGGAGGGCAAGUCUGGUGCCAGCAGCCAUGGUAAUUCCAGCUCCAAUAGCGUAUAUUAAAGUUGUUGCAGUUAAAAAGCUCGUAGUUGAAUCUUGGGAGCGGGUGCGCUGGCGAGCCACAGCCCAUCCCUGCUUCUUGCCUCUCGGUGCCCCCUGGAUGCUCUUAGCUGAGUGUCCUCUGGCCCAAAGCGUUUACUUUGAAAAAAUUAGAGUGUUCAAAGCAGGCCCAAGCCACCUGGAUACUGCAGCUUGGAAUAAUGGAAUAGGACUGCGAUUCUAUUUUGUUGGUUUUCGGAACUGAGGCCAUGAUUAAGAGGGAUGGCCGGGGGCAUUCAUAUUGCACCUCUAGAGGUGAAAUGCUUGGACUGGCACAGUUUGGACCAGAGCAAAAGCAUUUGCCAAGAAUGUUUUCAUUAAUCAAGAACGAAAGUCAGAGGUUCGAAGACAAUCAGAUACCGUGGUAGUUCCGACCAUAAACAAUGCCGACUGGCGGCUCCCAUGACCCGCUGGGCAGCUUCCAAGAAACCAGCCUUUGGGUUUUUCGGUUCUGAGGGGAGUAUGGUUGCAAAGCUGAAACUUAAAGGAAUUGACAGAAGGGCACCACCAGGAGUGGAGCCUGCAGCUUAAUUUGACUCAACAUGGGAAAACUCACCCGGCCUGGACAGGGACAGGAUUGAUAGAUUGAUAGCUCUUUCUCGAUUCCAUGAGUUGUGGUGCACGGCCUUAGUUGGUGGAGUGAUUUGUCUGGUUAAUUCCGAUAACGAACAAGACUCUGGCAUGCCAAAUAGUUAUGCGACCCCCAAGUGGUCGGCAUCCCCCAACUUCUUAGAGGGACAAGUGGCGUUCAGCCACCUGAGAUUGAGCAAUAACAGGUCUGUGAUGCCCUUAAAUGUCCAGGGCUGCACGCGCACUACACUGACUG